This 253-nucleotide ribosomal RNA is filed under the name uncultured bacterium. Its description in RNAcentral is "partial 16S ribosomal RNA". It matches the Rfam family "Bacterial small subunit ribosomal RNA", at positions 524 to 776 of the family's 1533-position model. The record is from RNAcentral.
UACAGAGGUGGCAAGCGUUGUUCGGAUUUACUGGGCGUAAAGAGCGCGCAGGCGGUCGUUCAAGUCGCGUGUGAAAGCCCCCGGCUCAACUGGGGAGGGUCACGCGAUACUGAUCGACUCGAAGGCAGGAGAGGGUAGUGGAAUUCCCGGUGUAGUGGUGAAAUGCGUAGAUAUCGGGAGGAACACCAGUGGCGAAGGCGACUACCUGGCCUGUUCUUGACGCUGAGGCGCGAAAGCUAGGGGAGCAAACGGG